This 510-nucleotide ribosomal RNA is filed under the name uncultured bacterium. Its description in RNAcentral is "bacterial SSU rRNA". It matches the Rfam family "Bacterial small subunit ribosomal RNA", at positions 28 to 509 of the family's 1533-position model. The record is from RNAcentral.
GACGAACGCUGGCGGCGUGCUUAACACAUGCAAGUCGAACGGAGAUUAUUAAUGAAGCUUGCGAUUUAAUAAUCUUAGUGGCGGACGGGUGAGUAACGCGUGGGCAACCUACCCAUAAGCGGGGGAUAACAGUUGGAAACGACUGCUAAUACCGCAUAAGCUAUUAAGGUCGCAUGACCUAAAUAGUAAAGGUGGCAUUUUAACAAUGCUAUCACUUAUGGAUGGGCCCGCGUCUGAUUAGCUAGUUGGUGGGGUAGUGGCCUACCAAGGCAACGAUCAGUAGCCGGCCUGAGAGGGUGGACGGCCACACUGGGACUGAGACACGGCCCAGACUCCUACGGGAGGCAGCAGUGGGGAAUAUUGGUCAAUGGACAGAAGUCUGAACCAGCCAAGUCGCGUGAAGGAAGAAGGUCUUACGGAUUGUAAACUUCUUUAGCAGGGGAAUAAAAGACGAUACGAGUUAUCGUGUUGAAAGUACUUUGCGAAAAAGGAUACGGCUAACUCCGUGCC